GACGAACGCUGGCGGCGUGCUUAACACAUGCAAGUCGAACGGUAAGGCCCUGCUUUUGUGGGCUGCUCGAGUGGCGAACGGGUGAGUAACACGUGUGUAACCUGCCCUCGAAUCUGGGGUAACAUCAGGAAAAUGGGGCUAAUACCGCCUAGGAGCUCCUGCAGCACGGUGGGGGCUGGAAAGUUUCGGCGGUUGGGGAUGGUCUCGCGGCUUAUCAGCUUGUUGGUGGGGUAGCGGCUUACCCAGGCUGUGACGGGUAGCCGGCCUGAGAGGGUGACCGGCCACAUUGGGACUGAGAUACGGCCCAGACUCCUACGGGAGGCAGCAGGGGGGAAUAUUGCACAAUGGGCGGAAGCCUGAUGCAGCAACGCCGCGUGCGGGAUGACGGCCUUCGGGUUGUAAACCGCGUUCAGCUGUGACGAAGCGUGAGUGACGGUACUGGGUGAAGAAGCACCGGCUAACUACGUG
This 468-nucleotide ribosomal RNA is filed under the name uncultured bacterium. Its description in RNAcentral is "partial 16S ribosomal RNA". It matches the Rfam family "Bacterial small subunit ribosomal RNA", at positions 28 to 507 of the family's 1533-position model. The record is from RNAcentral.